RNAcentral lists this ribosomal RNA (445 nucleotides) under uncultured bacterium. RNAcentral's name for it is "partial 16S ribosomal RNA". It matches the Rfam family "Bacterial small subunit ribosomal RNA", at positions 354 to 796 of the family's 1533-position model. The record is from RNAcentral.
GUGAGGAAUAUUGGACAAUGGAUGGAAAUCUGAUCCAGCCAUGCCGCGUGCAGGAAGACGGCCCUAUGGGUUGUAAACUGCUUUUAUACGGGAGCAAUAAGGUCUAUGCAUAGAUUGAUGAGAGUACCGUAUGAAUAAGCAUCGGCUAACUCCGUGCCAGCAGCCGCGGUAAUACGGAGGAUGCGAGCGUUAUCCGGAUUUAUUGGGUUUAAAGGGUGCGUAGGCGGCUUUGUAAGUCAGCGGUGAAAUUUUGCAGCUUAACUGUAAAAGCGCCGUUGAUACUGUGAAGCUAGUAUUUGGUUGCUGUGGACGGAAUGUGUGUUGUAGCGGUGAAAUGCAUAGAGAUCACACAGAAUAUCGAUUGCGAAGGCAGCUCACAAAGCCAAUAUUGACGCUGAGGCACGAAAGUGUGGGGAUCAAACAGGAUUAGAAACCCGAGUAGUCC